UACAGAGGGUGCAAGCGUUGUUCGGAAUUAUUGGGCGUAAAGGGAGUGUAGGCGGCUAGGAAAGUCUUCUGUGAAAUCUACGGGCUCAGCCUGUAACGUGCAGAGGAAACUAUCUGGCUAGAGUGUUGGAGAGGAUAGGGGAAUACCCGGUGUAGAGGUGAAAUUCGUAGAGAUCGGGUGGAACACCAGUGGCGAAGGCGCCUGUCUGGCUGACAACUGACGCUGAGACUCGAAAGCAUGGGGAGCAAACAGG
Molecule: ribosomal RNA, 253 nt
Filed under: uncultured bacterium
Lineage: Bacteria
Description: partial 16S ribosomal RNA
Rfam family: Bacterial small subunit ribosomal RNA
Source: RNAcentral